AGACCCGAAACCCGGUGAUCUAGCCAUGGGCAGGUUGAAGGUUGGGUAACACUAACUGGAGGACCGAACCGACUAAUGUUGAAAAAUUAGCGGAUGACCUGUGGCUGGGGGUGAAAGGCCAAUCAAACCGGGAGAUAGCUGGUUCUCCCCGAAAGCUAUUUAGGUAGCGCCUCGUGAAUUCAUCUCCGGGGGUAGAGCACUGUUUCGGCUAGGGGGCCAUCCCGGCUUACCAACCCGAUGCAAACUGCGAAUACCGGAGAAUGUUAUCACGGGAGACACACGGCGGGUGCUAACGUCCGUCGUGAAGAGGGAAACAACCCAGACCGCCAGCUAAGGUCCCAAAGUCAUGGUUAAGUGGGAAACGAUGUGGGAAGGCCCAGACAGCCAGGAUGUUGGCUUAGAAGCAGCCAUCAUUUAAAGAAAGCGUAAUAGCUCACUGGUCGAGUCGGCCUGCGCGGAAGAUGUAACGGGGCUAAACCAUGCACCGAAGCUGCGGCAGCGACGCUUAUGCGUUGUUGGGUAGGGGAGCGUUCUGUAAGCCUGCGAAGGUGGCCUGUGAGGGUUGCUGGAGGUAUCAGAAGUGCGAAUGCUGACAUAAGUAACGAUAAAGCGGGUGAAAAGCCCGCUCGCCGGAAGACCAAGGGUUCCUGUCCAACGUUAAUCGGGGCAGGGUGAGUCGACCCCUAAGGCGAGGCCGAAAGGCGUAGUCGAUGGGAAACGGGUU
This 724-nucleotide ribosomal RNA is filed under the name Salmonella enterica. RNAcentral's name for it is "partial 23S ribosomal RNA". It matches the Rfam family "Bacterial large subunit ribosomal RNA", at positions 711 to 1431 of the family's 2925-position model. The record is from RNAcentral. Lineage: Bacteria; Pseudomonadati; Pseudomonadota; Gammaproteobacteria; Enterobacterales; Enterobacteriaceae.